Molecule: long non-coding RNA, 1063 nt
Organism: Passer domesticus (house sparrow)
Lineage: Eukaryota; Metazoa; Chordata; Aves; Passeriformes; Passeridae
Exons: 7
Source: RefSeq, a predicted model, not a curated record
CCUUGGGGGACGGGUGUCACGGCUGCUCAGCAAAACGCCUUGGGGCGAGCGGGACAGCCGCCCCCGCCCCUGAGGGCAUUGCCCCCUUCGCCUUUCUUCUCCUCCUCUGCCUCUGCAGCCCUUCCAGAACGGAAACUGAGGGGGCUUCAAAGUGUAAGCAGAGCGCAGGUACUUGUGUGGCCUCUGUAAGGGAAGGCAGGAGCCUGCAAGCACAGAAGGUAACACCUAGGAGCCAGUCUUGCACUACAGAAAAGCUGUUCUCUAUUCCUGUAGCCAUCCCACUGGGUCAUCAUCCUCAAUGAGCGAAGGUAAAGUGUCUACAGGUGGGUGUAACACUAGUGAUGUGUAUAAGGAUUGAUGACUAAACUAGGAGGAUGCAGUAAUCCCUAAUUUUCAUCAAGUAGCCUGAAGUGAAGAAGAGCUAACCAGAUUAUAAAAUCUUGAUCCUUUUAAGAAUUCAAAUUGUUAAUGAUUCCCUGUUGACAGAGCUGAAAGGCGAGUGCUUCUUGAGUCUCCAGAAGUGAUUAUUGAAGAGAAAUGACUGUCAGUCUUCUAAUUUGGGUGAAUGCCAAGUAGACCAAAGACCAAGUUCUGCUGGCUCAUCACGAUUGUUAUCUCUACUGGAAAGCAAGCAAACCUCUCAUCUGUGUGAGAUCUGAUGUGACAUUCUGCAUUUUAGUCAAUUCCAGCUGGCUGCUCCAAAAAAGCAAGCAAUGUUUCAUAGGUACCACAGCUAUUUCUUUCUUCAAUCCCCUGAAGCAGUAGCUGUGGGGCUGUACUUACUGUGAGGCAGUGCUGCAGGUGAAGAAAGGCAAUAGAACUUCUGAUGCAAAGGAGAAUGGGAAUGUCACAGGCCUGUUUAAAAAUAACUGAGGAAAAAAGGGGCUGUGAUCUGCAUCAGAGAAGUGCUAAGGGCACAUCUGCCAUCAACUCCCUGUGACUGUUGUGCUCAGCAGGCAUGUACAGCUGCUGAUCCUCAACCAGCUCAGAGUUCUUCUAGCAUAUUUUUAGAUGAGCAGGAUGCAUAACUUUAAAAAUAAAACACUUGCCAGACCACACAUAA